UACGUAGGUGGCAAGCGUUGUCCGGAUUUACUGGGCGUAAAGAGCUCGUAGGCGGUCUGUCGCGUCGAUCGUGAAAACUUGGGGCUUAACCCUGAGCUUGCGGUCGAUACGGGCAUGACUGGAGUUCGGCAGGGGAGACUGGAAUUCCUGGUGUAGCGGUGAAAUGCGCAGAUAUCAGGAGGAACACCGGUGGCGAAGGCGGGUCUCUGGGCCGAUACUGACGCUGAGGAGCGAAAGCGUGGGGAGCGAACAGG
This 254-nucleotide ribosomal RNA is filed under the name uncultured bacterium. Its description in RNAcentral is "partial 16S ribosomal RNA". It matches the Rfam family "Bacterial small subunit ribosomal RNA", at positions 524 to 776 of the family's 1533-position model. The record is from RNAcentral.